Molecule: long non-coding RNA, 433 nt
Filed under: Gossypium barbadense (sea-island cotton)
Lineage: Eukaryota; Viridiplantae; Streptophyta; Magnoliopsida; Malvales; Malvaceae
Description: long non-coding RNA (GBAR_LNC013551)
Source: RNAcentral
AGACAGAGACUACAAAACCCAACUUGUUGUUGUCUUCAAUGAUCCAAGAUACUUGACAAUGUUUUUAUGAUUCAAAUUCUACAAAUAAUUCAAAUAAGAUACCAAAACCCAACUUGUUACCAUCAGCAAGGAGACCAGCAGCAGUAACUAACUACCAUGAAUUUUAAACUAAAAUAUAAGAUUUGUUACCGGCAGAUUACAAAGGAAAAGAGUCAUUCGGUGAUAGGAGUACUAUCAGAAAAGAAAAAUAUCUCUACUUACAAAGAAGUGAAUGAGGUUAGAUUUACUAAACUGGAUGGUAUUGGACCUUCAAAAGAGUUCCCUUGAAUCUCCUAUAUAAACAUUAGGGAGUCUUUCUUACACAGCUCAUAGUUCUUUAAGUUUAGCAAAUGUUGAGGGGAUCUCACCACUUAAUGCACAACUGUUAAUGUAU